This 391-nucleotide unclassified non-coding RNA is filed under the name soil metagenome. RNAcentral's name for it is "partial contains 5.8S ribosomal RNA, internal transcribed spacer 2, and large subunit ribosomal RNA". The stretch from base 1 to 122 matches the Rfam family "5.8S ribosomal RNA", at positions 35 to 154 of the family's 154-position model. The record is from RNAcentral.
GAUGAAGAACGCAGCGAAAUGCGAUACUUGGUGUGAAUUGCAGAAUCCCGUGAACCAUCGAGUCUUUGAACGCAAGUUGCGCCCGAAGCCAUUAGGCCGAGGGCACGCCUGCCUGGGCGUCACACGUCGUUGCCCCCCCAUCUACUCCUUCGGGAUUGCGGGGGGCGGAUGAUGGCCUCCCGUGCGCCUCGUCGCGCGGUUGGCAUAAAUACCAAGUCCUCGGCGACGCACGCCACGACAAUCGGUGGUUGCGAAACCUCGGUUGCCCGUCGUGUGCGGUCGUCGCGCAUCGAGGGCUCGAAAAAAUUGCCGGGCUCCGGCUCGGCUUUCAACGCGACCCCAGGUCAGGCGGGGUUACCUGCUGAAUUUAAGCAUAUCAAUAAGCGGAGGA